GAUGAACGCUGGCGGCGUGCCUAAUACAUGCCAGUCGAGCGAACGGACGAGAAGCUUGCUUCUCUGAUGUUAGCGGCGGACGGGUGAGUAACACGUGGAUAACCUACCUAUAAGACUGGGAUAACUUCGGGAAACCGGAGCUAAUACCGGAUGAUAUUUUGAACCGCAUGGUUCAAAAGUGAAAGACGGUCUUGCUGUCACUUAUAGGUGGAUCCGCGCUGCAUUAGCUAGUUGGUAAGGUAACGGCUUACCAAGGCAACGAUGCAUAGCCGACCUGAGAGGGUGAUCGGCCACACUGGAACUGAGACACGGUCCAGACUCCUACGGGAGGCAGCAGUAGGGAAUCUUCCGCAAUGGGCGAAAGCCUGACGGAGCAACGCCGCGUGAGUGAUGAAGGUCUUCGGAUCGUAAAACUCUGUUAUUAGGGAAGAACAUAUGUGUAAGUAACUGUGCACAUCUUGACGGUACCUAAUCAGAAAGCCACGGCUAACUACGUG
This 497-nucleotide ribosomal RNA is filed under the name uncultured bacterium. Its description in RNAcentral is "partial 16S ribosomal RNA". It matches the Rfam family "Bacterial small subunit ribosomal RNA", at positions 28 to 507 of the family's 1533-position model. The record is from RNAcentral.